UAUAACGAAACACCACAAACUGAACACCAUGAACAAACAGCAAAUCACCAUGGAUGGAUUUUAGAGAUGAAAUUGUAGAAGCAUACCCAUUUAAUUGAUAUGGCCAUUGAAGGAUGAAGAGUUGCAGAAAAUCGCAGGGUGUUCGAUGAUGAUGAUUUAAGUUAGUCAAAUCAUCAGGAAUUCCUCACCAUCCGAAUAUCCGAUAUCAACUAUAAGACCAAGAAUCAUGAAACACAGCAAUCAUCAAACAUUGAAUGAACCAAACCAUCAGUUACAUUUAUUGACUUUAUUCCGGCGAAGGGUUGCGACCCUUAAUUUUGGUUAAGCACCGCAUCCAUUAAAAAAAACAUUUAAUACAUUGAAUACCGGUGGACUAAUACGUUGAAUAGUUUUGUGAACCGUUAUUAUAACCAACUGAAC
Molecule: long non-coding RNA, 420 nt
Filed under: Helianthus annuus (common sunflower)
Lineage: Eukaryota; Viridiplantae; Streptophyta; Magnoliopsida; Asterales; Asteraceae
Description: sRNA HanXRQr2_Chr03g0093351
Source: RNAcentral